This 231-nucleotide long non-coding RNA is filed under the name Elaeis guineensis (African oil palm). Its description in RNAcentral is "long non-coding RNA (EGUI_LNC003830)". The record is from RNAcentral. Lineage: Eukaryota; Viridiplantae; Streptophyta; Magnoliopsida; Arecales; Arecaceae.
GAUGGAUACUUGUAGAGGUCGGAUACGUACGUGGCUCGAAGACCUUCGAACGAGAGAUCAUCGGUAGCGGUGAAUUUCUAUCCAUGCUAACGUAUUGAGAUUUAAUCUCAUAUUUAUUUUAUUUUCAGAUCAUAUGUAUGUUUUUAUGUUUUUCUCCUAAACUUGGGUAGGAUUAGAUGAGAUCUAUUGCAUAUGGGGUUAAAGGAUUUAACCUGAUUGAUUUUUUCGCUG